UUUGAUCCUGGCUCAGGACGAACGCUGGCGGCGUGCUUAACACAUGCAAGUCGAACGAUGAAGGAAGAGCUUGCUUUUCUGGAUUAGUGGCGAACGGGUGAGUAACACGUGAGUAACCUGCCCUCUUCUUUGGGAUAACGGUCGGAAACGGCUGCUAAUACUGGAUAUUCACUCAUUGGCGCAUGUUGGUGGGUGGAAAGGUUUUUUCUGGUGGGGGAUGGGCUCGCGGCCUAUCAGCUUGUUGGUGGGGUGAUGGCCUACCAAGGCUUUGACGGGUAACCGGCCUGAGAGGGUGACCGGUCACAUUGGGACUGAGAUACGGCCCAGACUCCUACGGGAGGCAGCAGUGGGGAAUUUUGCACAAUGGGCGCAAGCCUGAUGCAGCGACGCCGCGUGAGGGAUGAAGGCCUUCGGGUUGUAAACCUUUUUCGCUCAUGGUCAAGCCAUACUGUUGGGUGUGGUGAGGGUAGUGGGUAAAGAAGCGCCGGCUAACUACGUGCCAGCAGCCG
This 509-nucleotide ribosomal RNA is filed under the name Actinomyces sp. 13-014. RNAcentral's name for it is "bacterial SSU rRNA". It matches the Rfam family "Bacterial small subunit ribosomal RNA", at positions 12 to 517 of the family's 1533-position model. The record is from RNAcentral. Lineage: Bacteria; Bacillati; Actinomycetota; Actinomycetes; Actinomycetales; Actinomycetaceae.